This is a long non-coding RNA of Mus musculus (house mouse), 1557 nucleotides long. RefSeq annotates it as predicted gene, 32406. The record is from RefSeq and is a predicted model, not a curated record. Lineage: Eukaryota; Metazoa; Chordata; Mammalia; Rodentia; Muridae. The transcript has 3 exons.
GUGUGUGUGUGUGUAAUUAGCUGUUCAGUUACUGUAGAUAAAGCUUUGAGGCCAUUUUCAGUUUUGUUUUUAUAAUCUGUACUUAACAGACUUCAGCUGUCCUUGUACAGGAUCCUGCCUGUCUUACCAGCCCUUAUCCUGUUAAUCCUUUCUCCCCCUUUCUGAGUGUAUGAUGCUGGCUUCAGGGUGUCCCUCUCUGUCACUGCUGCACUUACACGUCCACUUGUCUCUUUCCAAUGUGUUGGUUCUCUUGGGUGAUUUGUUUGUUUGUUUGUCUUGUUGUUGUUCUCUAUUUGUGGUCUUGGCUCAUCCAUGGUUUCCCAUGUCACCUCUUGUUUUAUUUCUUUGCCCUUGAGAUCUUAGCAAGUUUUUCUGUAUUUUGUAACAUAGGCAGUGAGGUUUUCUUAGCCUGAAUUAUAGUUCCUGCCAUACUGGGUUCACUUCGCCUGGUGUUUUAAAUGUUUGUUCCUAUGGGCUCACAUACACAUACAUACAUGUGAGCAUGUGUAUGUGUGUGUGUGUGUGUGUGUGUGUGUGUGCGUGCGCGCGCGCGUGUGUGUGUCUGAUUAUUUGCAUAAUCAUUGCAUUAUUUAUUUUCUUUUUCCUUCUGCUUAAAUAGGGGGAACAUUUGUGGAGACGGUCUACGUAGUGUGAUUUGUUGUGGGUAACGUCUUGCUUCUUUACUACUUACACUAUGCUAUCAUCCCCAAGUGACAGCUCCGGCCUGUGUUGAAAUGAGUCAGCUGGAGUUGCUCUUAACUUUGGAAGGAAGAUCAUUGCAUACCUGUUGGCUAUUUCUUCUCUUUAGUUCUCAAUCUUUCUUUCUCUCUCUCUCUCUCUCUCUCUCUCUCUCUCUCUCUCUCGUACACACAUGCACAUACACACAUUGCAAAACUAUCCCUUCAUUCCCAGACAUAAUAAAAGUCAAUAUUGGCAUUGGAAAAGAGACAUAACCCUCACAGCGGCCCAUGCAGCGGCCUUCACAGUGCAGAAACAUUUCUUUCUUUUGUUUGCUUUUUUUGUUAUCACACAGCAGAUAGCUGGGGUCAUAGCAGCUCUAGACUGAAGUCCCAGAUCUGUCACCUACUAGCCAUAAUGAUGAGCAGGCACUACUCUGUUUAAAACCUCAGGCAUCUGACCUAUCCUCUUGAAGGUGGUGGUAGGGCCCACCUUUACAGCUGCGCAGAAGAAAAAGGAGUCAACUUCUUGCCAGAGAAAAUGCAAACGAACCCUCUAACUUUGCCUGCUAGGCCACAAGGCUAGGCGUUCUUGAAGUAGCUGAGACUUCAGCAGACUCUACCCAACCUUGCUACUCAGCACCUGCUGUCCUCCUGACAAGAUGAGUUCCUGCUAACCCAUUCCAGAAAAUAAAGGACACCUUUCCUCUGUUGUGGAAGACACUGGGCGGAGGAGACAGAUCUGUAGCUGAAAUCCCAACCAGCCUGUGUUGUAUUUCCCACACUUGGCUCAUUCACGUUUCUAUCACUUUCAUGCUCAAUGACUCGAACUGUCUGGCGGUGACUCAGCCAUCCUUAAGCAGACAACAGAUUAAACAAC